AACGAACGCUGGCGGCAGGCCUAACACAUGCAAGUCGAACGGAUCCUUCGGGAUUAGUGGCGCACGGGUGAGUAACACGUGGGAACGUGCCCUUGGGUACGGAAAAACAGUUGGAAACGACUGCUAAUACCGUAUAAUAUCGAGAGAUCAAAGAUUUAUCGCCCAAGGAUCGGCCCGCGGAAGAUUAGGUAGUUGGUGGGGUAAAAGCCUACCAAGCCUACGAUCUAUAGCUGGUCUUAGAGGAUGAUCAGCCACACUGGAACUGAGACACGGUCCAGACUCCUACGGGAGGCAGCAGUGAGGAAUAUUGGACAAUGGGCGAAAGCCUGAUCCAGCCAUGCCGCGUGAAUGAUGAAGGCCUUAGGGUUGUAAAGUUCUUUUAGCUGUGACGAUAAUGACGGUACCGCAAGAAUAAGCCCCGGCUAACUUCGUGCCAGCAGCCGCCGUAA
Molecule: ribosomal RNA, 449 nt
Filed under: uncultured bacterium
Lineage: Bacteria
Description: partial 16S ribosomal RNA
Rfam family: Bacterial small subunit ribosomal RNA
Source: RNAcentral